AACGAACGCUGGCGGCGUGGAUUAGGCAUGCAAGUCGAACGAGAAUCUGGAGGUUCAAGUUUUCGGACAAGAACUUUCGGAGGAAAGUGGCGGAAGGGUGAGUACAACAUGGAUAAUCUACCUUCAAGUUGGGUAUAGCUUCCCGAAAGGGGAGAUAAUCCCGAAUGUGGUGAUCCGGCGCCUGUCGGAGAAUCCAAAGGUGGGGACCGCAAGGCCUGCCGCUUGAAGAUGAGUCCGUGCACUAUCAGCUAGUUGGUGAGGUAAUGGCUCACCAAGGCGAUGACGGUUAGCUGGUCUGAGAGGAUGGUCAGCCACACUGGGACUGAGAUACUGCCCAGACUCCUACGGGAGCUGCAGUCGAGAAUCAUUCGCAAUGGCGCAAGCCUGACGGUGCGACGUCGCGUGGAGGAUGAAGGUCUUCGGAUUGUAAACUCCUGUCAUGGUGGAAUAAGUGGCCAGGGCAGUGAAUAGUGUCCGUUAGGAA
This 484-nucleotide ribosomal RNA is filed under the name uncultured bacterium. RNAcentral's name for it is "bacterial SSU rRNA". It matches the Rfam family "Bacterial small subunit ribosomal RNA", at positions 29 to 489 of the family's 1533-position model. The record is from RNAcentral.